This 76-nucleotide transfer RNA is filed under the name Pedobacter sp. RNAcentral's name for it is "tRNA-Phe". It matches the Rfam family "tRNA". From Rfam's summary of the family: Transfer RNA (tRNA) molecules are approximately 80 nucleotides in length. Their secondary structure includes four short double-helical elements and three loops (D, anti-codon, and T loops). Lineage: Bacteria; Pseudomonadati; Bacteroidota; Sphingobacteriia; Sphingobacteriales; Sphingobacteriaceae. The record is from RNAcentral.
GGUGCCUUAGCUCAGUCGGUAGAGCAAAGGACUGAAAAUCCUUGUGUCGCUGGUUCGAUCCCAGCAGGCACCACCA